Molecule: ribosomal RNA, 253 nt
Filed under: uncultured bacterium
Lineage: Bacteria
Description: partial 16S ribosomal RNA
Rfam family: Bacterial small subunit ribosomal RNA
Source: RNAcentral
UACGUAGGGUGCGAGCGUUGUCCGGAAUUAUUGGGCGUAAAGCGCACGUAGGCGGUUCGUUAAGUCGGAUGUGAAAGCCCUCGGCUCAACUGAGGAAGUGCACCCGAAACUGGCGAGCUUGAGUACGAAAGAGGAUCGCGGAAUUCCCGGUGUAGAGGUGAAAUUCGUAGAUAUCGGGAGGAACACCGGUGGCGAAGGCGGCGAUCUGGGUCGAUACUGACGCUGAGGUGCGAAAGCGUGGGGAGCAAACAGG